This is a long non-coding RNA of Musa acuminata AAA Group (dessert banana), 492 nucleotides long. RefSeq lists it as uncharacterized. The record is from RefSeq and is a predicted model, not a curated record. Lineage: Eukaryota; Viridiplantae; Streptophyta; Magnoliopsida; Zingiberales; Musaceae. The transcript is spliced from 3 exons.
UCUCAGAGGACGGAAGGCGCCGAAGGCCGCUCCAAUUUUGGACUCGUUCCUCCGUCUCUCCAGCGCAUCCCUCUCGCCGCCCCCUCACUUCGCCUCCCUUCUCUUCUGGGGUCAUUGAAUCCGGACGAGCGGGCGUUACAAAUCUCUCUCUCUCUCUCUCGACCGGUCUCUGGCGCAAGGGACAUGGUGAUUCGAGCGCAGCGUCCGUCCGGUGUUCCACUCCUGAACGGAGGCGAGGAGAGGACGGGCGUCGAUUGUUCCCAACACCUGCCUGGUUUCUUGGACCCAUCGGCGGUGAUGUUCUCCGGGGGCGGAGCGACUGCGAACCCGAGGAAGCGAGGAAGAGAGGAGGCGGCAGUGGCAAUCGGGUCGACGCCGGUGCAAGAUAAUGACAGUAUUAGUAAUCUCUUGGUCUUGGGACCCAGCAGUCUUCCGCCAACGUUGAUAAGCCUCGCGCAUCUUCGAUCGGAAUCCGCUGCUCCCCUCACCUCC